AUUGAACGCUGGCGGCAGGCUUAACACAUGCAAGUCGAGCGAGCGGCGGACGGGUGAGUAAUGUCUGGGAAACUGCCUGAUGGAGGGGGAUACAUACUGGAAACGGUAGCUAAUACCGCAUACCAUCAGAUGUGCCCAGAUGGGUUGAGCUAGUAGGUGGGGUAAUGGCUCACCUAGGCGACGAUCCCUCGCUGGUCUGAGAGGAGGACCAGCCAAACGGGAACUGAGAAACGGUCCAGACUCCUACGGGAGGCAGCAGUGGGGAAGAGUGCAAAAUGGGCGCAAGCCGGAUGCAGCAAGGCCGGGGGUGUGAAGAAGGCCUUCGGGUUGUAAAGCACUUUCAGCGAGGAGGCGUUACUCGCAGAAGAAGCACCGGCUAACUCCGUGCCAGCAGCCGCGGUAAUUC
RNAcentral lists this ribosomal RNA (406 nucleotides) under uncultured bacterium. RNAcentral describes it as "partial 16S ribosomal RNA". It matches the Rfam family "Bacterial small subunit ribosomal RNA", at positions 29 to 526 of the family's 1533-position model. The record is from RNAcentral.